GACGAACGCUGGCGGCGUGCUUAACACAUGCAAGUCGAAUGGAAAGGCCUGCUUUCCCUUGUGGAUUGCGGGUACUCGAGUGGCGAACGGGUGAGUAACACGUGAGUGAUCUGCCCCCAACUUUGGUAUAAGCCUGGGAAACUGGGUCUAAUUCCCGCUAGGACUGCAGGGUGGUGCCUGUGGUGGCAAACGAUUUUCUAGUGGUUGGGGAUGAGCGGGCGGCCUAUCAGCUUGUUGGUGGGGUAAUGUCGUACCAAGGCGGGGACGGGUAGCCGGCCUGGGAGGGUGGACGGCCAAGGUGGGACGGAGAUACGGGCCAGACGCCUACGGGAGGCAGCCGUGGGGAAUAAGGCGCAGUGGGCGGAAGCCUGAUGGCGGGACGCCGCGUGGGGGAUGCCGGCCUUCGGGUUGUAGCCUUCUGGCGACAGCGAGCUAGCGACCUGGAUGGAAGGGUGGUGACGGUAGUGGUAGAAGAAGCACCGGCUAACUACGUG
RNAcentral lists this ribosomal RNA (494 nucleotides) under uncultured bacterium. Its description in RNAcentral is "partial 16S ribosomal RNA". It matches the Rfam family "Bacterial small subunit ribosomal RNA", at positions 28 to 507 of the family's 1533-position model. The record is from RNAcentral.